UAUAUUGUAAUUAUUGUUUUACUUAUUCUAUAAAUUCCUUUCAAAAUAAACCUAUAUAGGGGAAUACGAACUCAAAAAAAGACUAAGUGCAUGAGCUUACAAGUUAGGGUCACUCAAUUAAUUGUAAUCCGAACCACUAAAAUACCAAGAAACACUACAACGCUUCCUUCUAGGAACAAUACUCCUUCAUCAACUCAUAACCACAAUGUGUAACCCUGCAUUGUCAAAAGAUUGCUCAAAACACAAUAAUUUCCAUCCAACACAAGAAAAAUAGACUUCACUCCAACCAAUCUGGAUCCACAUAAUUUCUAUAAUGACAGACUUCCUUUGUCCAAAAUACAUACAACUCUCAAUAAACAAUAAUCAUAACCUUCCAAUCAUAAUCAAUCUUCCAAUAACUUUUCAUAUAAUUCAAUCACAUAAUAUUCCAAUUAUAUAAUCAAUAACUCAUAAAUCAACCUCUGAUUUAUUCCAUAGACUCACUUCUUAGUAUUCAAAAACUGUCCAUUACUCUUCAACAACAAAGAAAACAAAGAAGUAGCACUAAGCUUAAUCCCGGCUCAUGACUAUCACAGUCUAGCCUCUCAAAGUAACUUCUACAACUCCUAUAUAAUUUUUAUUGAUUUUCAGAUUCUAACUGUAAUCCUAUAAUAACAUCUUUUAAUAACUGAUUUUACCAUCUGUCCUCAUGAACUGACUAUUCUAUGGACUAUUAGUCUAUUUUACUAUUAUCUUACAAAAACGAACUAAUAUCUAUUCUACAUAGCCCCAUUCCUAUCUGUGCAGCAUCCUCGCAAACACACAAU
This 806-nucleotide long non-coding RNA is filed under the name Physcomitrium patens. Its description in RNAcentral is "long non-coding RNA (PPAT_LNC011217)". Lineage: Eukaryota; Viridiplantae; Streptophyta; Bryopsida; Funariales; Funariaceae. The record is from RNAcentral.